UGCAAAACUUGACUAAUGGCUUCAUCAACAGAUCCUUUAGAAAGACAAUUUCAUCUCUCAGAAGAUCGAAGGAGCAAUGAAUGGAACUAUUUCACUAAACUUGACUGACCAAGAGAGAAGAACUGGUUGAUGAACUAGAAAUGAUGGAAACCUUGAGAGAAAAUGUCCCUGUCAUUGAGAGUUAAUGAUUGCCAAAAAAAGAAGCAUGUGGGACUUAGUCAAGCAUAUACCUGAGAAUUUAGGAAAGUAGCUUUCAAAAAGGUAAGAGAAAAGAUAGAGGCAAUGUAACAAUUUGCCUCUCUAAAAAAUAGGGUGGCUCAAGAGAGACAGGCAUUUCUUAAAAAAGAAUAUUCUUAGAUGCAAGUUCUGCCAAUAAUCUGAAUAAGGAAGAAAAAAAGGCAGACAGCUGAAGAAGAGGUCAUAGAGAUAUAUUCAGUCAUAUGUGAUAUUUAAAGAGCCCAUAUAGGAAAGAUGAAAGCAGAAAUAUACAACCAAGAACAUUUAAGUGUGUCACAGACCUAUGAGGAUGAUAGUGUCUAGUCUAUAAAAGCUAAAAAUGAUCUGUCUUGUGACAAAAAUGGUAAUAGUUCAUACCCCCCCCCAAAGAGGAUAUUUUCCCUCCAA
RNAcentral lists this long non-coding RNA (624 nucleotides) under Monodelphis domestica (gray short-tailed opossum). Its description in RNAcentral is "lncRNA (ENSMODG00000042887.1)". The record is from RNAcentral. Lineage: Eukaryota; Metazoa; Chordata; Mammalia; Didelphimorphia; Didelphidae.